CUCCGGUUGAUCCCGCCGGACCUGACUGCUAUCGGAUUGGUACUAAGCCAUGCGAGUCAUUGUAGCAAUACAAGGCGGACGGCUCAGUAACACGUAGUCAACCUAACUCGUGGACGUGGAUAACCUCGGGAAACUGAGAAUAAACCACGAUAGAUCAUAGUGCCUGGAAUGGCUUAUGGUCCAAACAGUUUACUGCCAUGGGAUGGGACUGCGGCCUAUCAGCUUGUUGGUGAGGUAAUGGCCCACCAAGGCGAUUACAGGUACGGGCUCUGAGAGGAGAAGCCCGGAGAUGGGUACUGAGACACGGACCCAGGCCCUAUGGGGCGCAGCAGGCGAGAAACCUUAGCAAUGUGCGAAAGCACGACUGGGUCAGUCCGAGUGAUUCCUGAUAAAGGAGUCUUUUGCCUGUCCUAAAAGCACAGGUGAAUAAGGGGUGGGCAAGUCUGGUGUCAGCCGCCGCGGUAAUACCAGCACCUCGAGUGGUCAGGACGUUUAUUGGGCCUAAAGCAUCCGUAGCCGGCUUUGCAAGUCUUCGGUUAAAUCCACCUGCUCAACAGAUGGGCCGCUGGAGAUACUACAGAGCUAGGGAGUGGGAGAGGCAGACGGUAUUCAGUGGGUAGGGGUAAAAUCCUCUGAUCCAUUGAGGACCACCAGUGGCGAAGGCGGUCUGCCAGAACACGUUCGACGGUGAGGGAUGAAAGCUGGGGGAGCAAACCGGAUUAGAUACCCGGGUAGUCCCAGCUGUAAACGAUGCAAACUCGGUGAUGCAUUGGCUUAUGGCCAAUGCAGUGCCGCAGGGAAGCCGUUAAGUUUGCCGCCUGGGAAGUACGGACGCAAGUCUGAAACUUAAAGGAAUUGGCGGGGGAGCA
Molecule: ribosomal RNA, 869 nt
Filed under: uncultured archaeon
Lineage: Archaea
Description: bacterial SSU rRNA
Rfam family: Archaeal small subunit ribosomal RNA
Source: RNAcentral